AACGAACGCUGGCGGCGUGCCUAACACAUGCAAGUCGUGCGAGAAAGUUCCUUCGGGAGCGAGUAAAGCGGCGCACGGGUGAGUAACACGUAGGUAACCUGCCCCCCAGUCUGGAACAACUAGAGGAAACUCUAGCUAAUGCCGGAUGAGACCACGAUCCCUUCGGGGUUGCGGCCAAAGAUGGCCUCUACUUGUAAGCUAUCGCUGAGGGAUGGACCUGCGGGCCAUUAGCUUGUUGGUGAGGUAACGGCUCACCAAGGCUGUGAUGGCUAGCUGGUCUGAGAGGAUGACCAGCCACACUGGGACUGAGACACGGCCCAGACUCCUACGGGAGGCAGCAGUGGGGAAUAUGCGCAAUGGGCGAAAGCCUGACGCAGCGACGCCGCGUGGGUGAUGAAGGCC
RNAcentral lists this ribosomal RNA (402 nucleotides) under uncultured bacterium. RNAcentral's name for it is "bacterial SSU rRNA". It matches the Rfam family "Bacterial small subunit ribosomal RNA", at positions 29 to 416 of the family's 1533-position model. The record is from RNAcentral.